RNAcentral lists this ribosomal RNA (897 nucleotides) under uncultured Bacteroidota bacterium. RNAcentral describes it as "bacterial SSU rRNA". It matches the Rfam family "Bacterial small subunit ribosomal RNA", at positions 1 to 891 of the family's 1533-position model. Lineage: Bacteria; Pseudomonadati; Bacteroidota. The record is from RNAcentral.
GGAUCCAGACUUUGAUUCUGGCUCAGGAUGAACGCUAGCUACAGGCUUAACACAUGCAAGUCGAGGGGCAGCGGGAUUGAAGCUUGCUUCAAUUGCCGGCGACCGGCGCACGGGUGAGUAACGCGUAUCCAACCUUCCGUACACUCAGGGAUAGCCUUUCGAAAGAAAGAUUAAUACCUGAUAGUAUCUUAAGCACACAUGUAAUUAAGAUUAAAGAUUUAUCGGUGUACGAUGGGGAUGCGUUCCAUUAGGUAGUAGGCGGGGUAACGGCCCACCUAGCCAACGAUGGAUAGGGGUUCUGAGAGGAAGGUCCCCCACAUUGGAACUGAGACACGGUCCAAACUCCUACGGGAGGCAGCAGUGAGGAAUAUUGGUCAAUGGACGAGAGUCUGAACCAGCCAAGUAGCGUGAAGGAUGAAGGUCCUACGGAUUGUAAACUUCUUUUAUAAGGGAAUAAACCCUCCCACGUGUGGGAGCUUGUAUGUACCUUAUGAAUAAGCAUCGGCUAACUCCGUGCCAGCAGCCGCGGUAAUACGGAGGAUGCGAGCGUUAUCCGGAUUUAUUGGGUUUAAAGGGAGCGCAGACGGGUCGUUAAGUCAGCUGUGAAAGUUUGGGGCUCAACCUUAAAAUUGCAGUUGAUACUGGCGUCCUUGAGUGCGGUUGAGGUGUGCGGAAUUCGUGGUGUAGCGGUGAAAUGCUUAGAUAUCACGAAGAACUCCGAUUGCGAAGGCAGCACACUAAUCCGUAACUGACGUUCAUGCUCGAAAGUGUGGGUAUCAAACAGGAUUAGAUACCCUGGUAGUCCACACGGUAAACGAUGGAUACUCGCUGUUGGCGAUAUACUGUCAGCGGCUUAGCGAAAGCGUUAAGUAUCCCACCUGGGGAGUACGCCGGCAA